Molecule: long non-coding RNA, 2868 nt
Organism: Pipistrellus kuhlii (Kuhl's pipistrelle)
Lineage: Eukaryota; Metazoa; Chordata; Mammalia; Chiroptera; Vespertilionidae
Exons: 2
Source: RefSeq, a predicted model, not a curated record
GGGGAGGCCUCGGACUACCCUGGAUGACAUGGAAUCGGGGACCCACUCUUCUCCCUGGAGGGGUCAGAGGCGGUUCUAGCAAAGGAAAGUUACUCCACAGACCAGGGUCCUGAGAGAGGCGGCGGCCUAAGGCCACACAGCAGGGGAUUCCAGCAUUCUCGGGGCAGGGGGCAGGGAUUAUUGCCCCAGAUUACAGAGUCUCAGAGAGAUGGCUGUCACUGGGUCCAGUUCCUGCUUCCCUAAAGCCAUGCCCCUGAGGGUGCACACCUCUCUUUACACACUCAGUCGACAUGGAGCUCACUACCCUGAAGAGGUGCCUUCCACCUACGGACACUCCUCAGCUGGAAAGCUGCUCCUCACAUUACCUUCUGCCCCCGAACGCCGCCCAGAGACAACGCUUCGUCCCUCCAGCCCUGCAGAGGUUCCCAGACAGAGCACGUCCCAUGAGGCACGGUCCGGUCAACGUGCCCAGUCCCACCCACGCUUCUUAGGACACAAUGGCAGCCACCGUCACUAACACUGGCUCUUCCUGUGGGCCUACACGUGUGCUUUACACGGGCUGACCUAUUUCACUCCCACGACAACCCUAUGAGGCACCAACUAUUGUCACCCACUCUUCAGUGAUGAGAAAACGAGGUUCAGCGAGGGGAGCCGGAAAGGAGGGGAGCUGGCUCUGCGUGACUCCCGACAGCACCAGCCCUUCUGGCUGGCAGGUUCCCUCAGGGCGAGGCUCAGAAAGCGUUUCAAUUUGAACAACAGGGGCUCCAAUCGACCCUGCACUCGCCCCUCCCACUUCCCUGCUUCAGUCCUGUCCCCAGGCUGCUCCAAAGGCCAUGGAUUUAGAAAGUCCUCAGCUGGUGGGGCAGGAAGGCCCUCGGUGGGAUAAGCUGGCCUGGACGGCUUAGAGAGGGGAGGGCUGCAGAGCAGGCGGUGGGCCAGGACCUGGGCUGACCCCAGGGAGACGAAGAGGCCCCCCCACCUUCCCCGCUGUUGUCUCGGGACAAGAGGAGCAUGGCAGACAAGGCCAGGGGCCGAGAAAGCCCAGCCUCUGACGAGCUCCCGUGCCUUCCACCCCAGCCCACAGUGACUCCAUGGAAAAGGAAUGUAGCAGAAGGCUUGCACCAGACCCAGCUAGCAAUCCAGAUGAGUUUUGCCACCCUGCAUAAACAAAGCUGAAAGCAGGGGCCAGGCCAGCUCCCGGCACCCAGAGUCCCCAGGGCAGGGCACGAGGGAGGCAGCUCCAUCCAGAAUUCCUCAGACCGGGGAAUGGCCACCCCCGGCAGUGCCCAGCCAUUGGGCCCAAGCCUGCACUCCCUGGUGUCAGACGGGCAGGAAUGGGCGCUUCACUGAGCCCCCUACCUGCCUGAUCCGGCCUGCACCUGUGCGAGUCACAACAGCGCCCUCUCCUCUCCUCUGUGCUCUGCACGGCCAGGCUGGGCGCUGGCCCCUGAAAGGCCCACCUGGACAAUGGAGCAGGAGCUCUGAGGACGGGCCUUAGGAGAGGACGAGGUAAGGGCAGGUGCAAGGAGGGGCUGCCGGAGGAAAGCAGGGGGCAAGGACCAGGAUCCACCAGGGUUCAAACCCCAAGUUGGGGAGGCGGACAGGAAGCCCUGAGGUGGACAUGAGAAUGAGGAUGCAAUGGGGCUGUCAUUACUGAGCCCUUCCUACAGCCCAGGUGCUGUGCUAUGCCCUUUGUACUCCUCUUUUCAGUCUUUCCCACAGUCCCCCAGAGAGAAGACUGUUAUUCUUCCCAGUUUGCAGAUGAAAUCAGAGGUCAGAGAGACCUGCCCAGGGUCAGACAGCUUGAUGCUCGGGGCAGCUGAAGAGCAGGAGGAAAGGGCUGCAUUGGGAGCUGCAGGCCUGGAUGUAAGUCUCCAACUCGUUAUGAGGCCUCCCGAUCCAGCCCGAAUCAGAACCCCGCAGAACGCAUCAGGGAGUGUGCCCCAAAUGCAGAUUCCUGGGCUCCGCUCCAGACCCAGCACCUCGGAAUACGCGUGUGCACAGCCUCCCAGAAGAGUUCUGAAGUGGUCAGGUUGGGGACCACUGGGCUUUAGAGCCCACGAUUUUAUAAACGUGUUUGUAAGCAAAUCAACACACAGGGAAGUGCAUAACGUUAACAAAAAAUGCACUUGAAAAUAGAUUUUGUACAUAAAUAUAGCCAUGAUUAUAUACUAGCCCUUCAAUACGCACGACAUUUUAAUGGUCUCAUAGCAUCGACACAUCCGUCAGAGGCGGAAGCAGAGCAGGAAUAGUUACAGAACUUGCCAGACCAGAAGGCUGAUGCAGAGCAGGCCCAAGGCGCCUUGCAGAAGGCAGGUCUUUGGCUCGGCCCCCUGAGAUGUGCCCCCUCUGGCCUCACCACCUCAUCCCAUAUGGUUCUGACUUCCUGCCCUGGGUGAACCUGACCUUUCACUCCAGGUUUACAAAAAAUCUGCACACACAUGACUUCAACAACUCAAGGUUCUCAGAGAACGAGGGCCACCCCACCCAGUUAGUGCCCUUCCAGUCCUAAGGACCUCCUCCCUGAGCAGUGCAGGGUGUUCCCAAAGCCCCACCUCCACAUCUGCCAUUUGAUCCGAAACGCUCCUUCUGUGCCAGCCUCGGUUUCCUCUUCUGUAAACGGGCCUCCUAGUUCCUACCCCGCAGGAUGAGUGGGAGGACCGGGUCUCAUGUGCAAAGCACCCAGCACAGCGGGUGUCAGGCCCGGCACCCAUGCUUCUGUGACGAUGGAACACCACGAACUCGCAGGCUGGAGCGAGCCCCUGGAAGGCAGGGGUGCGCUCUCAUUUACCAGUGUUCCCACCCCCACCCCAUGUGACACAUGCUCCAUAAGAAUGUGCUGAUGCACGAAGACACGAUAUCGCCAAA